UAAAAAUUAGUUAAUUUAUAACAUAAGCUUGUCAAGCUUAAAUUAUUAGAAAUCUAAUAUUUUUAA
Molecule: transfer RNA, 66 nt
Filed under: Typhlatya arfeae
Lineage: Eukaryota; Metazoa; Arthropoda; Malacostraca; Decapoda; Atyidae
Description: tRNA-Asp
Source: RNAcentral